GCCUUAGUAGUAUAAAAAUACAUUGGUCUUGUAAACCAAAAAUGGAGAAACCUUCUCCCUAAGACA
This 66-nucleotide transfer RNA is filed under the name Proechimys simonsi (Simon's spiny rat). RNAcentral describes it as "tRNA-Thr". It matches the Rfam family "tRNA". From Rfam's summary of the family: Transfer RNA (tRNA) molecules are approximately 80 nucleotides in length. The record is from RNAcentral. Lineage: Eukaryota; Metazoa; Chordata; Mammalia; Rodentia; Echimyidae.